Molecule: ribosomal RNA, 744 nt
Filed under: Triticum aestivum (bread wheat)
Lineage: Eukaryota; Viridiplantae; Streptophyta; Magnoliopsida; Poales; Poaceae
Description: partial small subunit ribosomal RNA
Source: RNAcentral
AUGUCGGUGACGGGGACAUCCGUGGCGGCGGCGGCGACCAUGCUGGCCGCGGCGGCCGCCAUCUUCAUCACCUUCGUCGUCUGCUUCUACCUCUUCCUCUGCGCCAAGCGCUACCGGGGCGCCGCGCCCGCAAUCGGCGGCGGCGGGGGCCGGGGGCCGCGGUUCGUCUUCGGGGGGCCCUGCCACGGGCGGGGCCUGGACGAGACGGCCAUCGUGGCGCUGCCGCGCAGGGAGGUCGCCCAGGGGGACCCCGCGGCCGACUGCGCCGUCUGCAUCACGGAGCUCGCCGCCGGGGAGGCCGCGCGCCUGCUGCCGCGGUGCGGCCACUCGUUCCACGUCGAGUGCGUCGACAUGUGGCUCCGCUCGCACUCCACCUGCCCGGUCUGCCGGUGCGCGGUCGCCGACGAGGCGCCCACCGUGCAGCCCCCCGAGGCCGAUCCUGAGUCGCCCAUCUUCCCCACCAACGUGCUCUUCUUCGGCUCCCAGGACGCCGUGGCAACCGGCGGCACGCCGCGGCAGCCGGUGCCGCCGCAGCCUUCCCAGGGCCCGAUCGCCGGCGUCGCGGCCGUGGUCGAGGCGGCCAGAGUGGCGGCCCUCCGGCGGCUGCUCGGCUGCGGCGGCGGGACGUCCCCGCCCCCGCCACCACCGCCGCCGCAGGCAGGCCGCGACCUGGAGAUGGGCCCCGCGCAGGCCGGCGGCGAGAGCAGCACGCCGCGGCCGGCGAAACCGCAGCCAGGUUCUUGA